Molecule: ribosomal RNA, 426 nt
Filed under: uncultured bacterium
Lineage: Bacteria
Description: bacterial SSU rRNA
Rfam family: Bacterial small subunit ribosomal RNA
Source: RNAcentral
AGGGAAUCUUCCGCAAUGGACGAAAGUCUGACGGAGCAACGCCGCGUGAGUGAUGAAGGCCUUCGGGUCGUAAAACUCUGUUGUUAGGGAAGAACAAGUAUCGUUCGAAUAGGGCGGUACCUUGACGGUACCUAACCAGAAAGCCACGGCUAACUACGUGCCAGCAGCCGCGGUAAUACGUAGGUGGCAAGCGUUGUCCGGAAUUAUUGGGCGUAAAGCGCGCGCAGGCGGUCCUGUAAGUCUGAUGUGAAAGCCCACGGCUCAACCGUGGAGGGUCAUUGGAAACUGGGGGACUUGAGUGCAGAAGAGGAAAGCGGAAUUCCACGUGUAGCGGUGAAAUGCGUAGAGAUGUGGAGGAACACCAGUGGCGAAGGCGGCUUUCUGGUCUGUAACUGACGCUGAGGCGCGAAAGCGUGGGGAGCAAAC